CAAAGCAGAAACUUUCAAAAUCACGAUCAGAGGGAAAGGGAAAACAAAAAGGCGGCAAACAUUGAAAGAAAGCACUAGCAAGGAAAUCAAAUCCAUCCCCGGACAUUACAAUAUAAAACUAACAAAUAUAAUAAUUUCCAAAACCCUUCCCCUUAAGUUCUCUCUUCAUAUCCGCCCCCCCUCUCUCAUCAUCCGAGAGAGAGAGAGAGAGAGAGAGAGAGAGAGAGAGAGAGAGUUUCCGUGUCUCGAUCGUGCUCCUACUCAGAAAAUCAGCGAAAACGAGUUGUCGUUGAUGAGAAUUUAAGCGCAGAGAAAAAAAGAUUAGAUACACCGUGCUGGAAUCGAUCGAGCUAAGUUUUUUUUAGCGUAAUUUAAAUUACCGAGCAUGAUUUUUUCGUGUUUUUUUCCUUCUGAAUAUGUCUCUGCUUUAUUUUUUUUUAAAUGGCGACGAGAAGUUAAUAUCAGUUUUUGUUAGAAAUCGAUCAGAUUGAUUGCUUGUGAAAUGUUUGUGAUUUGAUUGGUGAAUUGCUUGAGGUAGGUCAUAAAUGUGUUGGUUUGUUGAUCUAGUGGAUUAAUUGUGUCUGGCUUAGCUAAAUAGCUGAAUGCAUAGGAUUAUGAUGUUAUGUGCUCUUUUGUUUUAUAAGCAAGUGAUGGAGGGUUUUCUUACCAGGUGUAUAUGUUAAUUGAUUGAUGAAUUUGAAUACCUGUUGGUUCGAAAUACAAGCAGGCUUUAAAAUAGUCUUAAGAAUUGAGAUUUGAAUGCCUGUUUAAUAGAUGGAUGUGCAUAAGUUCUGUACGUUUUUUAAAGCAGAGUUUAAUAGAUAUCGUUCUACUUCUUUUUGGUGGUCGGUGGGGUUGAUAUU
This is a long non-coding RNA of Populus euphratica (Euphrates poplar), 863 nucleotides long. RefSeq lists it as uncharacterized. The transcript is spliced from 3 exons. NCBI's taxonomy places the organism in Eukaryota, Viridiplantae, Streptophyta, Magnoliopsida, Malpighiales, Salicaceae. The record is from RefSeq and is a predicted model, not a curated record.